This 294-nucleotide ribosomal RNA is filed under the name Bacillus pumilus. RNAcentral describes it as "partial 16S ribosomal RNA". It matches the Rfam family "Bacterial small subunit ribosomal RNA", at positions 1248 to 1533 of the family's 1533-position model. The record is from RNAcentral. Lineage: Bacteria; Bacillati; Bacillota; Bacilli; Caryophanales; Bacillaceae.
UGCGAGACCGCAAGGUUUAGCCAAUCCCAUAAAUCUGUUCUCAGUUCGGAUCGCAGUCUGCAACUCGACUGCGUGAAGCUGGAAUCGCUAGUAAUCGCGGAUCAGCAUGCCGCGGUGAAUACGUUCCCGGGCCUUGUACACACCGCCCGUCACACCACGAGAGUUUGUAACACCCGAAGUCGGUGAGGUAACCUUUAUGGAGCCAGCCGCCGAAGGUGGGACAGAUGAUUGGGGUGAAGUCGUAACAAGGUAGCCGUAUCGGAAGGUGCGGCUGGAUCACCUCCUUUCUAAGGA